CACUGCAAUCUGGGACACUUUUCCUAGUCAUGCCUAAGGAGCCAAUUAUUGGGUUGUCUGAAGCAGAAGGUUCUGGUGAAUCUGAAGUAAAGUAGCAGGAGUGACAUGAACCAAUGAAGAGUCAAUUUUUGCGAGGAGAGUGCAACGAUGACCCAGGCAGGGCCGGUGUUGGGACCUAACGAUCAAGUGUGCUGCUUGUCCUGUCCUGAGCACCCAUCUUGAUGGAAUGGAGCCCAAGUUGCAGCCUGUUGGAAAAAGAUCCGUGGACUCCGGCGGGGGGAGGAAGAAAUUGCAGUCCAGCCAAUAUGGUUGAUAAAAGCAAGCUCCGUUUAUUAGCAAUCCAGAGGCACUUAUAUAGUAUACCAGCUUGUUAACUCUUAAGUGGCUUAAAACUUAUCCAAGCGCAUUUCUGCUUCUACAUAAUUGGACUACAUUGGCAAGCUUCUACAGUUAUGUUAUGAUUAAAAGAAUUCAGAGUUCACCCUCCCUUCUCUCCUGCUGAGAAGUGGGAGUCAGAGUGGAUUGGUGGACAUCUGGCAUACAGCCAAGGUCAACCCAUCACAGAUGCUUUGUAUACUGUCCAGGUGUCACAGGAGAAGAAUCAGAGAUCAAUCGGACAGAUCUGAUCUAGUAGUUAGUUUACUGAGCUCUAAUCAGUAAAUUUAUGUACAUAAAAUUUUUAAUAAUUACAGAUGGAUUGUCAGUCAAUAGCUAUUUGCUACACUUAAUUUCAGUAUGGUAUUGUUGGGGGUUUUGGGAGUUCCCCUUCUGGUUUUUUUUCCCCCUCUUGAAGAAUUUUCCCCAUAUAUGUUGCUGGGGGCGACAAAUUGCUGGGUAUUUGGGGAGGACAAAGGACCUAGCCACUGAGGGUGUGGUCCAACGGGCUACUCGCUUUCACCUGGGUGUGUGGGCGGUUGGUGCUCCGAGUUCAGACAGAGAGAGAGGCUGCUUCCAUCUCGUCAGCACUGCAGGCUUUCUGCUUUCAGCUGCCUUCUUUCUACCAGAGAAACCCCAGGAUUCCCAAACCCGCCUUUCCCUGCCCCUGCUGCUGCGUUCGAGCCUUCGCUACUCUGUAGCGCCUGCAUGUCCUGCCUGCCGAGACCUCCCAGGGUCCCCACCGCAGAUCUGGAGUUCAAUGCAUCUUGUCUGCCAUCCGGGAUUUGUGCUUGUCCCUGCUGUUCCAGCCUGCUUUUCCCGAGGGUCUGGCCGGACACCGGGAUCGGCUGCCCAGGGGGUUUGUGAAGCCUUUGUUCCAUCCCUCCUCAGGACCCCAAGCCGUCAUUGCCGCAUGCUCCCCGAGCUUGCUCCGGAGCGCUCCCUGUAGCUGCGGGGGAACCAUCACACCUGCCCUGCUCACCAGGAGCCGCCAGCGCCCCUGCCAGCUGCGAGCGGAACUGCACCCAAGGGGAA
Molecule: long non-coding RNA, 1410 nt
Organism: Corvus hawaiiensis (hawaiian crow)
Lineage: Eukaryota; Metazoa; Chordata; Aves; Passeriformes; Corvidae
Exons: 3
Source: RefSeq, a predicted model, not a curated record